AUGGCUCAGUGGUUAAGAGCACUGGCUACUCUUCAGAGAUCCUGAGUUCAAUUCUCAGU
RNAcentral lists this transfer RNA (59 nucleotides) under Mus musculus (house mouse). It matches the Rfam family "tRNA", at positions 7 to 64 of the family's 71-position model. Rfam says of the family: Transfer RNA (tRNA) molecules are approximately 80 nucleotides in length. Their secondary structure includes four short double-helical elements and three loops (D, anti-codon, and T loops). Further hydrogen bonds mediate the characteristic L-shaped molecular structure. tRNAs have two regions of fundamental functional importance: the anti-codon, which is responsible for specific mRNA codon recognition, and the 3' end, to which the tRNAs corresponding amino acid is attached (by aminoacyl-tRNA synthetases). tRNAs cope with the degeneracy of the genetic code in two manners: having more than one tRNA (with a specific anti-codon) for a particular amino acid; and 'wobble' base-pairing, i.e. permitting non-standard base-pairing at the 3rd anti-codon position. Lineage: Eukaryota; Metazoa; Chordata; Mammalia; Rodentia; Muridae. The record is from Rfam by way of RNAcentral.